RNAcentral lists this ribosomal RNA (460 nucleotides) under uncultured bacterium. RNAcentral's name for it is "partial 16S ribosomal RNA". It matches the Rfam family "Bacterial small subunit ribosomal RNA", at positions 338 to 795 of the family's 1533-position model. The record is from RNAcentral.
CCUACGGGAGACAGCAGUGGGGAAUAUUGCGCAAUGGGCGAAAGCCUGAACCAGCCAAGUAGCGUGAAGGAUGACUGCCCUAUGGGUUGUAAACUUCUUUUAUAUGGGAAUAAAGUGAAGUAUGUAUACUGCUUUGCAUGUACCUUAUGAAUAAGGAUUGGCUAACUCCGUGCCAGCAGCCGCGGUAAUACGGAGGAUUCGAGCGUUAUCCGGAUUUAUUGGGUUUAAAGGGAGCGUAGGCGGGUUGUUAAGUCAGUUGUGAAAGUUUGCGGCUCAACCGUAAAAUUGCAGUUGAUACUGGCAGCCUUGAGUACAGUUGAGGUAGGCGGAAUUCGUGGUGUAGCGGUGAAAUGCUUAGAUAUCACGAAGAACUCCGAUUGCGAAGGCAGCCUACUAAACUGUAACUGACACUGAUGCUCGAAAGUGUGGGUAUCAAACAGGAUUAGAUACCCGUGUAGUC